AGUUUGAUUCUAGCUCAGAUUAGACGCUGGCGGGAUGCUUUACACAUACAGAAUGAACGUAUACGGACUUCGGUCUGGUGGCGGGUAACGAACAGUGAAAUAUCAUAUCGGAACGUGCCUAGUAGCGGGGGAUUAACUGCGCGGCAUCAACUAAUACCACACUCGCCCUUCAAAAGCGGGGACCUUCGGGCCUCGCACUGUUAAACUGGCCGAUAUUAUCGGAUUAGCUAGUUGGUGGGGUAACGGCUCACCGAAGGCGACGAUCCGUAGCUGGUUUUGAGAGGACGACCAGCCGCUGGGACUGAGACACGGCUAACCUCACGGGAGAGCAGCAGUGAAAUUUUUGGACAAUGGAAACGUCAGUCAGCCAUCCCGCGUGUGCGAUGAAGGCCUUCGGGUUGCAAAGCACUUUGGCGGGAAAGAAACGGCGCAGGAUAAUGCCCGUGCAACUGACGAUACCUGCAGAAUAGCUGGCUAACUACGUGCCAGCGGCGCAGUAAUACGUAAGGGUGCAAGCGUUAAUCGGAAUUACUGGGCGUAAAGCGUGCGCAGGCGGUUGGAAGAAGAUGUGAAAUCCCAAACUCUUUUUGGAACUGCAUUUUAACUACCGAGCUGGGGAAGGUGUGUCAGAGGGAGGUGGAAUUCCCGCGUGUAGCAGUGAAAUGCGUAGAUAUGCGGAGGAACACCGAUGAGCAGCCUCCUGGGAUAACACUGACGCUCAUGCACGAAAAGCGAUGGGGAGCAAACAGGAUUAGAUGCCUGGUAUGAUUACUGCCACAAACUGAUGUCAACUGGCUGUUGGGGCCUUCGGGUGCUUGUGGCGCGGCUAACGCGUGAGAUUGACCGCCUAUGAGGGAAGUACAAUGCGCAAGAUUAAAACUCAAGGAAUUGACGGGGACCCGCAAGCAGUGGAUGAUGUGGAUUAAUUCGAUGCAACGCAGAAAACCCCUUCCCAUACGACAUCAGUUCGAAGGAUUUGGGAGUGCUCGCAAGAGAACCGGAACACAGGUGCUGCAUAGCUGUCGUCAGCUCAUUAAUCGUGAGAUGUUGGGUUAAGUCCGCAACGAGCGCAACCCUUGUCAUUAGUUGCUGCGAAGGGCUCUAAUGAGACUGCCGGUGACAAACCGGAGGAAGGUGAGGAUGGCGUCAAGUCCUCAUGGCCCAUAUCGGUAGAACUACACACGUCAUACAAUGGUCGGGACAGAGGGUCGCCAACCCGCGAGGGCCGUCGAGCGAUCGUAGUCGGAUCCGCAAUCUCAACUCGACUGCGUGAAGUCAGAUCGCUGGUAAUCCUUGGUUAACAUGUCGCGGUGAAUACGUUCCCGGAGUCUUGUACACACCAUACAAUACACCAUGGGGUGGGUUUUACCCGCUGAUAGUUAGCCUAACAAGCUCUGGAGGGCGAUUACUACAAUGCAGGAUUCAUGACUGGGGGUGAAGUCGUAACAAGGUAG
Molecule: ribosomal RNA, 1454 nt
Filed under: uncultured Bordetella sp.
Lineage: Bacteria; Pseudomonadati; Pseudomonadota; Betaproteobacteria; Burkholderiales; Alcaligenaceae
Description: partial 16S-23S ribosomal RNA intergenic spacer
Rfam family: Bacterial small subunit ribosomal RNA
Source: RNAcentral